GGAUGUGAGGGUGAUCUGGCUGCAACAUCUGUCACCCCAUUUAGCCCCAAGGUUGAUUUAGCUGAUCUAGCUGGCUAGGCUGGUGUCCCCUUCCUCCCUCACUGCUCCAUGUGCGUCCCUCCCAAAGCUGCAAGCUUCUUCGAAGAUGGACCCAUCUUUGGGUCUUUGGUCUAGGGUAUAUGAGUAGCUGCGUUCCCCUGCUAGAACCUCCAAGCAAGCUCUCAAAGUUUGUCAACUGUAGUGGAUUUUAGGGGAGGGGAGAGGUCAGAAUCAGGUGACAGCUUAAUUUAUUAGAGUCCAUAAGUUA
Molecule: small nuclear RNA, 307 nt
Filed under: Erinaceus europaeus (western European hedgehog)
Lineage: Eukaryota; Metazoa; Chordata; Mammalia; Eulipotyphla; Erinaceidae
Description: 7SK RNA
Rfam family: 7SK RNA
About the family: 7SK was discovered as an abundant small nuclear RNA in the mid-70s but a possible function has only recently been suggested. Two independent studies have found that 7SK RNA binds the CDK9/cyclin T complex (known as elongation factor P-TEFb). P-TEFb activates transcription by phosphorylating the C-terminal domain of RNA polymerase II.
Source: Rfam by way of RNAcentral